GACCAGUGUGGCACAGUGGUUUCAAUGUUGGACUAGGAUUCUGGAGACCAGGGUUCAAAUCCCCUCUUGGUCA
Molecule: non-coding RNA, 73 nt
Organism: Phrynosoma platyrhinos (Desert horned lizard)
Lineage: Eukaryota; Metazoa; Chordata; Lepidosauria; Squamata; Phrynosomatidae
Source: the annotation of a GenBank genome assembly